GCCGUUGGGGUCCUCGAGACCUUUGUGGCGCAGUUAACGCGAUAAGUCGACCGCCUGGGGAGUACGGCCGCAAGGUUAAAACUCAAAUGAAUUGACGGGGGCCCGCACAAGCGGUGGAGCAUGUGGUUUAAUUCGAUGCAACGCGAAGAACCUUACCUACUCUUGACAUCGAGCGAACUUUCCAGAGAUGGAUUGGUGCCUUCGGGAACGCUCAGACAGGUGCUGCAUGGCCGUCGUCAGCUCGUGUUGUGAAAUGUUGGGUUAAGUCCCGUAACGAGCGCAACCCUUGUCCCUAUUUGCCAGCGAUUCGGUCGGGAACUCUAGGGAGACUGCCGGUGACAAACCGGAGGAAGGUGGGGACGACGUCAGGUCAUCAUGGCCCUUACGAGUAGGGCUACACACGUGCUACAAUGGCCGGUACAAUGGGCUGCAAUCCCGCGAGGGGGAGCUAAUCUCAUAAAGCCGGUCUCAGUCCGGAUCGGAGUCUGCAACUCGACUCCGUGAAGUCGGAAUCGCUAGUAAUCGUGCAUCAGAAUGGCACGGUGAAUACGUUCCCGGGCCUUGUACACACCGCCCGUCACACCAUGGGAGUGGACUGCACCAGAAGUGGUUAGCCUAACUUCGGAGGGCGAUCACCACGGUGUGGUUCAUGACUGGGGUGAAGUCGUACAGGGUAACCGUCG
This is a ribosomal RNA of 683 nucleotides. It matches the Rfam family "Bacterial small subunit ribosomal RNA", at positions 819 to 1505 of the family's 1533-position model.